RNAcentral lists this ribosomal RNA (1709 nucleotides) under Longidorus elongatus. RNAcentral describes it as "SSU rRNA". It matches the Rfam family "Eukaryotic small subunit ribosomal RNA". The record is from RNAcentral. Lineage: Eukaryota; Metazoa; Nematoda; Enoplea; Dorylaimida; Longidoridae.
AUGUCUAAGCACAUGCCUUAAUACGGUGAAGCCGCGAAUAGCUCAUUACAACAGCCAUCGUUUACUAGAAAAUAUUUAUCCUACUUGGAUAACUGUGGCAAUUCUAGAGCUAAUACAUGCAAAAAAGCUCAGACUGAAAGGAAUGAGCGCAUUUAUUAGAAUAAAAACCAAUCGGGUAUAAAAGCCCGCUGUUUGGUGAAUCUGAAUAACUUUGCUGAUCGCACGGUCUAGUACCGGCGACGUAUCUUUCAAGUGUCUGCCUUAUCAACUUUCGAUGGUAGGUUAUACGCCUACCAUGGUAGUAACGGGUAACGGAGAAUAAGGGUUCGACUCCGGAGAGGGAGCCUGAGAAACGGCUACCACAUCCAAGGAAGGCAGCAGGCGCGCAAAUUACCCACUUUCAGAACGGAGAGGUAGUGACGAAAAAUAACGAGACAGUCCUCUCUGAGGUCUGUCAUCGGAAUGGGUACAAUUUAAAUCCUUUAACGAGGAUCUAUUGGAGGGCAAGUCUGGUGCCAGCAGCCGCGGUAAUUCCAGCUCCAAUAGCGUAUAUUAAAGUUGUUGCGGUUAAAACGCUCGUAGUUGAAUCUGCGGCCUGGGAGAAUGGACCCCCGAAAGGGUGGUAACUGUUACUCCUAGCCUAAAUUUUUAGUCUACUCUAUGGUGCCUUUAACCGGGUGCUUAGAGUGACUGGAACGUUUACUUUGAAAAAAUUAGAGUGCUUAAAGCAGGCGAAUUUGCCUGAAUAAGGUGCAUGGAAUAAUGGAAUAGGACCUCGGUUCUAUUUUGUUGGUUUUCGGAGCCUGAGGUAAUGAUUAAGAGGAACAGACGGGGGCAUUCGUAUUCCGGCGCUAGAGGUGAAAUUCUUGGACCGCCGGAAGACGGACGACUGCGAAAGCAUUUGCCAAGAAUGUUUUCAUUAAUCAAGAACGAAAGUUAGAGGUUCGAAGGCGAUCAGAUACCGCCCUAGUUCUAACCGUAAACGAUGACAACCAGCGAUUAGUCGGCGUUAAUAUAUGACCCGACUAGCAGCUUCCGGGAAACCAAAGUUUUUCGUUUCCGGGGGAAGUAUGGUUGCAAAGCUGAAACUUAAAGGAAUUGACGGAAGGGCACCACCAGGAGUGGAGCCUGCGGCUUAAUUUGACUCAACACGGGAAAACUCACCCGGCCCGGACACCGUAAGGAUUGACAGACUGAGAGCUCUUUCUUAAUUCGGUGGGUGGUGGUGCAUGGCCGUUCUUAGUUGGUGGAGCGAUUUGUCUGGUUAAUUCCGAUAACGAACGAGACUCUGGCCUAUUAAAUAGCCGGUAUAUAUUGAAAAGUUUGCCGCGCUUCUUAGAGGGACAACCGGCGUCUAGCCGCGUGAAAUAGAGCAAUAACAGGUCUGUGAUGCCCUUAGAUGUCCGGGGCUGCACGCGCGCUACACUGAAAGAAUCAGUAUGCGCAUUCGCCUAGUUCGGAAGAACCGGGUAACCCUAGCAAAUUCUUUCGUGCUUGGGAUAGGGAAUUGCAAUUAUUUCCCUUGAACGAGGAAUUCCCAGUAAAUGCGGGUCAUAAGCUCGCGUUGAUUACGUCCCUGCCCUUUGUACACACCGCCCGUCGCUACUACCGAUUGGAUGACUUAGUGAGGUCUUAGGACCGAGGUGAUGGAGCUUUCAUUAGUUCUUUUGCUUUGGAAAUUUGAUCGAACUACGUUAUCUAGAGGAAGU